AGCUGGGAUUUAAAUGUUAAUGGGUGCAAGUCUGAAUACAGACUUUGCCAUAUUUAAGGAGAACUGCAUGAUAGAAGAGGAGUCCAUCCAAAGUUCUUUGUGAGUAAUGAGAGUCAUUAAGUUCAAAUUUAAAAUCUAUUCAUUUGUCUUUCAGUGGUUUGCAGAUCAAGCUGUCAGACAUGCAAUAAUUGUUUGUUUUUUUUUUUUUUUUGGGGAAAGAAUCAAAAAACUACAAGGAUGAAGAGAAAUGGUGGGGUGAGCUACAAGACCAAAAGAAACAACAGCAAAGAGAAAAACAAAAAAAAGAGCAAAAAAAACAGGAGGUUGGAUUCUGGCGAGCUCUGGGUACAACAAUCAAGUAUUCUGGUAUAGGAAUCAUCCUCUUCGUUUUGUGCAAUUUGCUGGGCCUGUGCAUCUUCAAUUGGAAGAUGAAAAGUGCCAAGCUCACUCACUCUAAGGAUGAUGAAGAGUAAAACUAGUCCCCAUGUUUUAGUUGCUCUGGUUAACAACAGGUAAGCUUCAGGGAUUAUCAUAACCAUUAAUAACAAUUUGUAGCGUGUGCUUUACUUUUUCUGUUGGUAUUAUGUGUUAUUUUUUGGGAAAAUACGUCAGAACUAAUUCAUAAUGAAUUCCAGUUUAGGUGUAAAUUCAGUGCAUGCCAGCAAACACUGAAGAUAGUAUCAGAAAAAAAAUCUGCCCAUCAGCUACAGCAA
Erpetoichthys calabaricus (reedfish) is the source of this 713-nucleotide long non-coding RNA. RefSeq lists it as uncharacterized. Lineage: Eukaryota; Metazoa; Chordata; Cladistia; Polypteriformes; Polypteridae. The transcript has 5 exons. The record is from RefSeq and is a predicted model, not a curated record.